AUAUUAGUCUCUAGUUGUUGCUACCACACCCUGCAAACUUAGUACUUGAAACCAGCAUGGGAGUGUUGACUCACAGUCCUGGAUGUCAGAGACUGAAACCAGUGUCACUGGGCUAAAGUUGAGGCAGAGUCCCAGAGGAGACACACUACCACUACCUUAAGAGUGGGAUCACAGAGCCUUCCACACAGCUGUGGGCAGAUGACAGCUCAUGUAUCUGAGUGGGCUGUCAUCAACCUCUUCCCAUGCUUGUUGCUGCCUGUCACUUGGUAACUCUCCCUUGGAGAACUGCACAUUGUGUGGUGAAAAGCUCGAUGAAUUCCCAGCAUUCCUCUCCGUAGCAGCCGAGUUUUGUCAAGCUUGGGACUGGUGAUUGAUCGGGACACUUGGGAAAACUGCAACAAACCAGUCUUGACCACAUUUGUCUGCUGUGGCAUGUUCUGUUGCCGGCAGCUGGAGAUGCCGGGAUAAUAGGAAGAUGACAUCUGUAUCCGUUGAAAUGCCAUGACCAAAAGCAACUUAAGGAAAUUUACUUUGACUUAUGAUCCAUAACGGUAAUGAAUGCAUGGCGGGAGAUAGACAGUGUGGAAAGCUGAGGUUGUGUCUCAACCACACAGGGAGCAGAGAGAGGAAGAGGGAACCGAGACACAGCUAUACACUCUCAAAGCUCGCCCCUUGUCAUGGACUUCUGAGAGCAAAGCUCUACCAUCUAAAGGUUCUAUAACCUCCACAAACAGACUAUUAACUGAGAACUACCGAGUGUUCACAUACCCAUGUCUGUGGUAUUGUUUUAUGACUUACUGGGUGAUUUUCAGGGACAGUAUUCCCAAAAGUAUGUGAUUAGGAGACUCAGGCCAUACAUUAGCCAAUCUUGUGGUUUCUAAUUGUAGCAGGCUUUGGGACCCAGAAGGAAGGUCAUUCUCAGCUCAGUGUUCUUUGUUCUUGUAACUUGGUGCUCCUCUGGCUUUCUGUAUCUGGUGAUGGGUGGAUGUCACUGGUCUUGGUGUGAUUUUGGCUUUCUGUAUCUGGUGAUGGGUGGAUGUCACUGGUCUUGGUGCUCCUCUGGCUUUCUGUAUCUGGUGAUGGGUGGAUGUCACUGGUCUUGGUGUGAUUUUGGCUUUCUGUAUCUGGUGAUGGGUGGAUGUCACUGGUCUUGGUGCUCCUCUGGCUUUUUGUAUCUGGUGAUGGGUGGAUGGAUGUCUCUGUUUUGGGGGCUCAUGGUUGUUUUCUCUUGUUU
Molecule: long non-coding RNA, 1234 nt
Organism: Mus musculus (house mouse)
Lineage: Eukaryota; Metazoa; Chordata; Mammalia; Rodentia; Muridae
Product: predicted gene, 41497
Exons: 3
Source: RefSeq, a predicted model, not a curated record